This 548-nucleotide ribosomal RNA is filed under the name uncultured Bifidobacterium sp. RNAcentral describes it as "bacterial SSU rRNA". It matches the Rfam family "Bacterial small subunit ribosomal RNA", at positions 147 to 710 of the family's 1533-position model. Lineage: Bacteria; Bacillati; Actinomycetota; Actinomycetes; Bifidobacteriales; Bifidobacteriaceae. The record is from RNAcentral.
CUCCUGGAAACGGGUGGUAAUGCCGGAUGUUCCAGUUGAUCGCAUGGUCUUCUGGGAAAGCUUUCGCGGUAUGGGAUGGGGUCGCGUCCUAUCAGCUUGACGGCGGGGUAACGGCCCACCGUGGCUUCGACGGGUAGCCGGCCUGAGAGGGCGACCGGCCACAUUGGGACUGAGAUACGGCCCAGACUCCUACGGGAGGCAGCAGUGGGGGAUAUUGCACAAUGGGCGCAAGCCUGAUGCAGCGACGCCGCGUGAGGGAUGGAGGCCUUCGGGUUGUAAACCUCUUUUAUCGGGGAGCAAGCGUGAGUGAGUUUACCCGUUGAAUAAGCACCGGCUAACUACGUGCCAGCAGCCGCGGUAAUACGUAGGGUGCAAGCGUUAUCCGGAAUUAUUGGGCGUAAAGGGCUCGUAGGCGGUUCGUCGCGUCCGGUGUGAAAGUCCAUCGCUUAACGGUGGAUCCGCGCCGGGUACGGGCGGGCUUGAGUGCGGUAGGGGAGACUGGAAUUCCCGGUGUAACGGUGGAAUGUGUAGAUAUCGGGAAGAACACC